UUUUGACAUGACAGUUGAAACUGUUUUGUGUUUGAUAAUAAAUCUUUUAAAAGGCUGUAAAAUUUAUAUCAGUUUGAAUUAUUAAAAUGAAGAUUUUUGCUGCAGACGUUAACUUAAGUGAUGAAUUUGUUAAAAUUAAUGACCUUUUUAAUGCCUCUUGUGAUAUUAAAGCACAACAAGAUUGUUUGGUUAAGCUAGAUGAUCAUUUUAAACAUGACGCAUCUCUUGCAUAUAGAACAGAAGCAGGAAAUUUGUUGGCCAAGAUAUAUUUGCUUACACCUUUAAAACAUCCACUAAGGAAAACAUUACUUCGAAUGUUUGAUAAAACUACAUGUAUUGAUCUAAAUGAACCGUUGUGUUUGUAUUUGACCAUUCAAGUAAAGCAGAUUUGUGAUAAUUUGUUUCAAGAUUUAAAUGCCAUAAACAAUAUAAUCAAUAGUUUGUAUGUAGUGGUGGAGAAUGAAAACAUACUUAUUCAUGACGUAACAGAAGAUGUAUUUGUGUUUUUGAAGUACAUCAUCAAUGAUUUAUAUUGUAGGACACAAGGAAAUUCGAAUUUACCUAACUUAUUGCCUGAACAAGUAAAUAACUAUUUACAACACUUCAUUAGAAUAACUUUAGCACUGUGUCAAAAAUAUGAACCCUCUCAGGACAACAGUUGUGAAUUUUUAAUGCUUUCUUUCAAAAUUUGUAUGCAUCCUAAUGUUACAUUUGAUACAAGAGCAAAUUGUGGUCACAUCAUGCUAAUUGUCUGUAAAAACGUUACAGAAACUCUGUUUACUAAAGAAAUGAAUAAAAAUGAUAUUUGGAAAGAGUUUAUUACUCUUUUGAACAAUCAACACUCUUAUCUGAAGGACUAUUUAGAGUUUGAUAGAUAUGAAAGUAAUAAUGUUGAAGUAACAGAAAUUUUCGUUGUAUGUAUAAUGUUGGGUAUAUUAAAGACUGUUCCUCUUGAAAUACUUCAGGCACACACUAUAAAUAACUACCCUGUAAUAACAUAUUUUUUUAAUGAAUUGCUGAACAGUGUAAAGCGUUUUACAUGCAAACCAACUCAAAUUUUGGAAAUAACACAAGCAAUGCUGUUAAUGAGCAAUAGUGUACAUUAUCUGGGUCAAGAAGAGUUAAAGUUAGUGUUGGAAGAUGCGUUACCGUUUGUGUUUAGUCAUUUAAAUCAUUACAUGAACACAAUUCGCUCUAACACUACGGCAAUAUUUAUUAAUUUUAUAAAAUGUGCCAAACAACGAGAUUUAAUUGGCCUAAUUAUUGAUGAAGCUUUUAAACUGCAAAACAGCGAGAACAGUUUUUACCAAGUUUUGGAGGUACUGAGUAAAGAAAUUAGUUGUUCAAUGUUUAUCAAGAAACAUUUAAGUUUCCCCAAGUUUUUACUUUCUAAUUUAAUAAAAACGGACUUGGCCAACGAAAUUUGCGCUUGUUUCAAGAAUCUGGCGAACCUUCACUUUCACGAAGAAUCAAGAGAGAAUUGGGUGGAAUGUUGGAUCUCGGCUCUUAUAACUUUUUUAGGAAAUUGUCCAGAAGAAUGUAACAAAUAUUGUCACGAUUUAUUUAUAGAAUUGUUUAAAAUAGAUCAAACAGUUAUCAAAACUUUUUUACUUAACCAGAAGGGUUCAGAAAACGAAAUAAUAAUUUAUCUUGCUUGUUUACUACACCUACGAAAUCAUGGUAUCCCUUUACAAACAACUGAAAUUUACGGAGUAAAUUCUAACGAAACAGUUUUGUGGAGAUCUCUUGUAAACUACGAACUUUUGGAGGCUCUUAAAUUUCAUCAUAACGAUAUCAUUCGUGUUUCAGUUUUGGCGCUCGUCGUCGAAAGUCAUAAAAGUACCGAAACUUUUACACAGUGGGAAUUAGACUUUUUAAUUAGUUAUUUUCAAAAAAACACCUCCGUGCUCUCCGCCAACACUCGCCAACAAAUUAUGGCUUUAGGAAGAAAAAUGUUUGCGAGAUAUAACGAAAGUAUGAAAGUGUUAAAACGAAAUGAAGCUCAGUUAAAAAAUAAACUGAAAGGAAAGGAACAACUGGCUUUAAAACUAAAUUUAAAAAGUACACUGGAUUGUUUAGAAAGUUACGAAAAGUUUUGGUUUAAUUUGUUCUCCCAGGUGUUAUCCAUCGGUCUACAUUCGGGAGCCAAUUAUUCUAGAAGAUUUUGUUGUCUAGAAUUACUUAUUUUAUCCUCAAAAGUAGUGGACGACAAAAAAUGGAUUUCUGCAUGGCACAAAGAGAAUGUACAACAUCUAAAAGGCAUAAUUGAAACAGAUACUUAUGAAACAAAUAAAGAAAAGGCAGUAAUAUUGUCCCAAAAAAUUGGUAGCGACAGAAUGGGUUUAAAUGUGAAAACGGAGGCUGCAAUUUAUUUUAAAAAUGUUGUUAGCAAUUUAACAAGUUUAAAGCCUGCAGAUACUUUAUCAGGUUCUUAUAUGUUCGAUGUAAUUUUGGAGAGUUCCCACGUGACAGGAAUAAUAAAAGAAAAUAUGAAAAACGGAUCGGAAAAUGAAGACAAAGUAUACAUGGCUAUUUCAUUUAUUUUAGAGAAUAUUUUCGAAGCCAUCGACUUUGCUAAAAAUAAUUUAAAAAAAGCCGCAGAAACUAAACCAUUACACGGCUUAUUUUUGGCAUUAAGGCACUUAAUGAAACAUAUGGUUACUAGAGAUUUGGCAGAACCCAUAUACAGAGACAUAUUAGACAAAUGUGUAAAGGCGUGUUUUAUGGUUCUUCCAAUCAUUUUCCAAGUCGUUUGUAAUUCUUCCCCUGAAGGCUACAUUCCCGAGGACAGCUUUAGUAAAGAAGACGAAACAUGUACAGCUCAAAUGCUUCUAGUCUACACGUGGCGCGCUGCUAAAGAAACUUCACUAUUUUUGGGCGAAAUUGCUUUAAAUUUACCAAUUUGUGACUCUGACGAAUCUCCGAAUGAUGGUGUGAUAAGUGUGGAUUUAAUGCAAAGAAUUGGUGACUUCUUCGUGGAUUUUUUGAUGACAGUCAAACAUCGUGGAGCCUUUGAACAGGGCUAUAUUGGCUUCACUAAUUACUGUAAGAGACUUUGGAGAUUGCGUAAUUAUAAACUUAGGAGACUUCCGGAAAUGUAUCUCACGAAAAUAAUGAGCAGUUUACAAGGCAAAUUUGAGCACAUAAAUGCAUGCGCGACUAGAAGAAGCGCAGGACUUCCUUUCAUGGUUCAGGCGGUGUUAACGACAGAACCCAAAUUAGAAGGCAGAUUGUUUAAUCAAACCAUGAAGACCUUACUAAGCUUGGCGAAGAAUGAAGGAGACGAUAAUGUUGAACAAAAAGUUCAUUCUUUAAAUAUAUUAAAAGCCCUUUAUAAGCACAACCAAUUGGGGGAAGCAGUUACCCCGUACGUAGCCCAGGGAGUAAUGAUUGCCAUUCGUGGACUCUCAAAUUCAAGCUGGAGUAUUCGAAAUUCUGCUACAUUACUCUUUUCUUCCCUGAUGACGAGAAUGUUCGGUGUUUCGAGGAAUAAAAAGUCUAUUAGUUCUAAAAAUAAAUUAACAGGUCAUGUAUUUUUCAUGCGGUACCCUCUUCUUUACGAUUUUUUGCUGAAACAAUUGAAAAAUAGAUCAAAAGACGAGAACUGUCCCAGCUUGUAUGGGAUCCUGCUCAUUUUUGGGCACCUGUACCCUGGAAAUCGUAACAACGACUCUGAGUACAAAUUAAGUGUAUUUUUGCCUUAUGUCGAGGCGUGCUUGUCUAAUAGUGUUUAUCAAACGAGAGACUUGGCUGCUGCCGCUUCUGUCGCUAUAAUUUCUACUCAAGAUAGAGACGGCUACGUUUGGAAUAUUUUAAAGAAAUUACCAAGAAUAAAAACAGAAAAUAACAGACAUGGACUUCUUCUCCAGAAUGCUGUGCUUCCCCUGAUGCCUCAACUGUUCUUAAGUUGUCUGUAUGCGACUUCUUUCUUGAUAAUAAAUGUUUAUUUUACCAAAAGGAUCCUCUUCUAUCAGCUCGGAAUUUGCUUAUUAAGGUUCCGAUUUAAUAAAAUGCUGGUACAUGGUCACUACAUUAACAGAAGACGACGACAGUAUGGUGCGAAAUAGAAUAUCACAUCUUGCAGCUGUUCCUUUUUCAUGUGAAUCUAUUCCUAUCAUUUUGCCCAAAUAUAAUUUGGAAACCAUACAAUCUGCAAAGGAGAAGAUAUUAGAUCAUGCUUUCUUAAUUCUCCCCGACUUGCCUCUCCUGUCGUA
This 4214-nucleotide unclassified non-coding RNA is filed under the name Agrilus planipennis (emerald ash borer). RNAcentral's name for it is "thyroid adenoma-associated protein homolog, transcript variant X8". The record is from RNAcentral. Lineage: Eukaryota; Metazoa; Arthropoda; Insecta; Coleoptera; Buprestidae.